This 373-nucleotide ribosomal RNA is filed under the name uncultured organism. Its description in RNAcentral is "bacterial SSU rRNA". It matches the Rfam family "Bacterial small subunit ribosomal RNA", at positions 526 to 897 of the family's 1533-position model. The record is from RNAcentral.
CGUAGGAGGCGAGCGUUGUCCGGAUUUACUGGGCGUAAAGCGCGCGCAGGCGGCACUUCAAGUAAGGUGUGAAAUCUCCCUGCUCAACGGGGAGGGUGCACUUUAGACUGGGGAGCUAGAGGACGGUAGAGGGGGGUGGAAUUGCUGGUGUAGCGGUGAAAUGCGUAGAGAUCAGCAGGAACACCCGUGGCGAAGGCGGCCCCCUGGGCCGUACCUGACGCUGAGGCGCGAAGGCUAGGGGAGCGAACGGGAUUAGAUACCCCGGUAGUCCUAGCAGUAAACGAUGGCCACUAGGUGUGGGGGGUGUUGACCCCUUCCGUGCCGAAGCCAACGCAUUAAGUGGCCCGCCUGGGGAGUACGGUCGCAAGACUAA